AACCCUGGAUUUAUCUCACUGAAUACUGACUACUUGUCUGGAGUUCUUCCUGAAUGAUCAAGGCUAUCUACGUUCAGAGGAUUUCAUUUCCUAUCUACUGUCUUCGUUUGGAUUCGCAUCUAGCUGGCAGUUUCCUGCUACCUUCGCCUCUUGGACCAAGCCGUAAGCGUACCCUGUCCACCCUCGAAUUUGGAGAAUCAUCCGUUACGAUCCCGAUCAUCUUAGUCACAAUGAACACCUUCUAUAUAUUCUGUUCUCCGGAGUGUUCUCUGUAUGUGGGUCAGAUCUAUUGCAAACAAAAUGACAUUAAGGCUCUUUGCUGUUCUGUGUUCAUAAAACAGUGGUUCAUUUCUUGA
Girardinichthys multiradiatus is the source of this 356-nucleotide long non-coding RNA. RefSeq lists it as uncharacterized. NCBI's taxonomy places the organism in Eukaryota, Metazoa, Chordata, Actinopteri, Cyprinodontiformes, Goodeidae. The record is from RefSeq and is a predicted model, not a curated record. The transcript is spliced from 2 exons.